CAAGAGCUCUUUUCGUUUCCAAAAUGGCGGACUACGAUCUGACCACCAAGAUCGCGCAUUUUUUAGACCGGCAUUUGGUCUUUCCGCUGCUGGAGUUUCUAUCCGUCAAAGAGAUCUACAAUGAGAAAGAACUUUUUCAAGGGAAGCUGGACCUUCUCAGCGAGACAAACAUGGUCGACUUUGCCAUGGAUGUAUACAAGAACCUCUAUCCGGAUAAAGACAUUCCACAUUCCUUAAGGGAAAAAAGAACGACAGUAGUGGCCCAGCUGAAACAGCUCCAAUCUGAGACCGAACCCAUUGUGAAGAUGUUUGAAGAUCCGGAGACUCAGAGACAGAUGCAGUCCACCAGGGAUGGGAGAAUGCUGUUUGAGUAUUUAGCAGAGAAACAUAGUUUUCGUCAGGAGUAUUUGGAUACACUAUACCGCUACGCCAAAUUCCAGUAUGAGUGUGGAAACUACUCGGGUGCGGCCGAGUAUCUUUACUUCUUCCGUGUACUAGUUCCCUCCACAGACAGGAACGCUUUAAGCUCCCUCUGGGGGAAACUGGCGUCUGAGAUCCUCAUGCAAAACUGGGAGGCGGCCAUGGAGGACCUGACCCGUUUACGAGAGACCAUCGACAACAACUCGGUUAGUUCACCCCUUCAGUCUCUGCAGCAGAGGACGUGGCUCAUUCACUGGUCUUUAUUUGUCUUCUUCAACCAUCCCAAAGGCAGAGACAACAUCAUUGAGCUCUUCCUGUAUCAGCCCCAGUACCUGAACGCAAUUCAGACCAUGUGCCCACACAUUCUACGCUACCUUACCACAGCUGUCAUUACCAACAAAGACGUGAGGAAACGACGGCAGGUCCUCAAAGACCUUGUUAAGGUCAUCCAACAGGAGUCGUACACAUAUAAGGAUCCCAUCACGGAGUUUGUGGAGUGCCUCUAUGUUAACUUUGAUUUCGACAGCGCUCAGAAGAAGCUGAGAGAAUGCGAGUCGGUGCUAGUGAACGACUUCUUUCUGGUAGCCUGCUUGGAGGAUUUCAUCGAAAACGCCCGUCUGUUCAUAUUCGAGACGUUCUGUCGGAUCCACCAGUGCAUCUGCAUCAGCAUGUUGGCGGAUAAGCUGAAUAUGACCCCCGAGGAGGCUGAGAGAUGGAUCGUCAACCUGAUCCGCAAUGCCAGACUGGAUGCCAAAAUCGACUCCAAACUGGUGAGAGAGCUCUGGGGGUCAUGUGGUGAUGGGCAACAAUGCUGUGUCGCCGUAUCAGCAGGUGAUCGAGAAGACCAAGAGCCUGUCCUUCCGUAGUCAGAUGCUUGCAAUGAACAUUGAGAAGAAAAUAAGCCACAGCAGCCGAAAUGAGACACCAAACUGGGCGGCUCAAGACUCUGGCUUUUAUUAGACUAUCAACCAAAAUCAAAACAGUGGAUCAACCGUUAUGUUCAUCAAUCACAACUUAGUAUUUAACUUACUUUUACCUAGGUUUGUUUUAUAUAGGAUCAUUUCAGAAAAGACUGCUGCCGACAUUUCCACAGCGUGAUGAGGGCUGUGGAGUUCUGGGAUGUUAAAUUCUGACAGAACAUUUUAUAAGUUCUUUAUGACGGACAGACCUGAACAUAUUAAGUGAAUAUUCCAAUUGUAUGUCAUCUCAAAAAACAUUGUUUUUACCUUAGAGUGUUCGCAUACACCAAAAUAAACACAAAGUGUUUAUUCACAUGCUGAGUUCACAUGCAUUUGGCUGAUGCUUUCAUCAAAUGUAAAUGUAAAUGUAAAAGCGACUUUGCUUUUAUUAGUGUGUAUAUUCCUGUCGAAUGAAUGCAUGACCUUGGCAUAGUGAGCACCAUGCUCUAGAUGCUAUUAGAUGCUUUCAUAAUCUUAACCUGCUUCAGAUUGAAACUAGAGGUGUUUAAAGUGAUGUUUGUAAUUGUUGUAAGAUUGUGAUUUUUAUUUUUUAUUCCAAACAGGUUUUUACAUGACCUCUGUCUGCAAUACUUUGUGAAAACCAUUCAAUGCCAUUUUAAACAGUUUAUAACAGGAAGUCCUGUUCUAAACUGGCAUUCUAUAUAAAAAAUAAUCAAACUAA
RNA transcript from Triplophysa dalaica, 2061 nucleotides. It is a transcript of the gene named eukaryotic translation initiation factor 3, subunit E, b, with no coding region annotated. NCBI's taxonomy places the organism in Eukaryota, Metazoa, Chordata, Actinopteri, Cypriniformes, Nemacheilidae. The record is from RefSeq and is a predicted model, not a curated record. The transcript is spliced from 13 exons.